RNAcentral lists this ribosomal RNA (253 nucleotides) under uncultured bacterium. Its description in RNAcentral is "partial 16S ribosomal RNA". It matches the Rfam family "Bacterial small subunit ribosomal RNA", at positions 524 to 776 of the family's 1533-position model. The record is from RNAcentral.
UACAGAGGGUGCAAGCGUUAUUCGGAAUUAUUGGGCGUAAAGGGCGCGUAGGCGGCUCUAUAAGUCUGGUGUGAAAUCCCUGGUCUCAAGCCAGGAAGUGCAUUGGAUACUGUAGAGCUGGAGGACAGGAGAGGUGAGCGGAAUUCCCGGUGUAGAGGUGAAAUUCGUAGAUAUCGGGAGGAACAACAGUGGCGAAGGCGGCUCACUGGACUGUAUCUGACGCUGAGGCGCGAAAGCGUGGGGAGCAAACAGG